RNAcentral lists this unclassified non-coding RNA (87 nucleotides) under Pseudomonas trivialis. The record is from RNAcentral. Lineage: Bacteria; Pseudomonadati; Pseudomonadota; Gammaproteobacteria; Pseudomonadales; Pseudomonadaceae.
GUGGGAGGGGGCUUGCUCCCGAUGGCGGUGGGUCAGUCAACUGAUAAUUGACUGAAACACCGCCAUCGGGAGCAAGCCCCCUCCCAC